CACCGCCCGUCACACCAUGGAAGUGGACUGUACCAGAAGCGAGUAGCUUAACCUUCGGGAGGGCGCUCACCACGGUAUGAUUCAUGACUGGGGUGAAGUCGUAACAAGGUACCC
This 114-nucleotide ribosomal RNA is filed under the name uncultured bacterium. RNAcentral's name for it is "partial 16S ribosomal RNA". It matches the Rfam family "Bacterial small subunit ribosomal RNA", at positions 1388 to 1501 of the family's 1533-position model. The record is from RNAcentral.